This 692-nucleotide ribosomal RNA is filed under the name uncultured bacterium. Its description in RNAcentral is "bacterial SSU rRNA". It matches the Rfam family "Bacterial small subunit ribosomal RNA", at positions 32 to 715 of the family's 1533-position model. The record is from RNAcentral.
AACGCUAGCUACAGGCUUAACACAUGCAAGUCGAGGGGCAGCACGGGAGUAGCAAUACAGCUGGUGGCGACCGGCGCACGGGUGAGUAACGCGUAUGCAACCUACCUAUCAGAGGGGAAUAACCCGGCGAAAGUCGGACUAAUACCGCAUAAAACAGGGGCACCGCAUGGUGAUAUUUGUUAAAGAAAUUCGCUGAUAGAUGGGCAUGCGUUCCAUUAGGUAGUUGGUGAGGUAACGGCUCACCAAGCCGACGAUGGAUAGGGGAACUGAGAGGUUGGUCCCCCACACUGGUACUGAGACACGGACCAGACUCCUACGGGAGGCAGCAGUGAGGAAUAUUGGUCAAUGGGCGGGAGCCUGAACCAGCCAAGUCGCGUGAAGGAAGAAGGAUCUAUGGUUCGUAAACUUCUUUUGCAGGGGAAUAAAGUGCAGGACGUGUCCUGUUUUGUAUGUACCCUGAGAAUAAGGAUCGGCUAACUCCGUGCCAGCAGCCGCGGUAAUACGGAGGAUCCGAGCGUUAUCCGGAUUUAUUGGGUUUAAAGGGUGCGUAGGUGGUUUGAUAAGUCAGCGGUGAAAGUUUGCAGCUUAACUGUAAAAAUGCCGUUGAAACUGUCGGACUUGAGUGUAAAUGAGGUAGGCGGAAUGCGUGGUGUAGCGGUGAAAUGCAUAGAUAUCACGAAGAACUCCGAUUG